RNAcentral lists this ribosomal RNA (468 nucleotides) under uncultured bacterium. RNAcentral's name for it is "partial 16S ribosomal RNA". It matches the Rfam family "Bacterial small subunit ribosomal RNA", at positions 28 to 507 of the family's 1533-position model. The record is from RNAcentral.
GAUGAACGCUGGCGGCGUGCUUAACACAUGCAAGUCGAACGGAAAGGCCAGUGCUUGCACUGGUACUCGAGUGGCGAACGGGUGAGUAACACGUGGGUGAUCUGCCCUGUACUUCGGGAUAAGCUUGGGAAACUGGGUCUAAUACCGGAUAGGACAACUUUAUGGAUAUUGUUGUGGAAAGCUUUUGCGGUAUGGGAUGAGCUCGCGGCCUAUCAGCUUGUUGGUGGGGUAAUGGCCUACCAAGGCGUCGACGGGUAGCCGGCCUGAGAGGGUGUACGGCCACAUUGGGACUGAGAUACGGCCCAGACUCCUACGGGAGGCAGCAGUGGGGAAUAUUGCACAAUGGGCGCUAGCCUGAUGCAGCGACGCCGCGUGGGGGCUGAAGGCCUUCGGGUUGUAAACUCCUUUCGCUAGGUACGAAGCUUUUUUGUGACGGUACCUGGAGAAGAAGCACCGGCUAACUACGUG